This 188-nucleotide small nuclear RNA is filed under the name Myotis brandtii (Brandt's bat). RNAcentral's name for it is "7SK RNA". It matches the Rfam family "7SK RNA", at positions 1 to 192 of the family's 331-position model. Rfam says of the family: 7SK was discovered as an abundant small nuclear RNA in the mid-70s but a possible function has only recently been suggested. Two independent studies have found that 7SK RNA binds the CDK9/cyclin T complex (known as elongation factor P-TEFb). The record is from Rfam by way of RNAcentral. Lineage: Eukaryota; Metazoa; Chordata; Mammalia; Chiroptera; Vespertilionidae.
AGAUGUGAGGGCGAUCUGGUUGCGACAUCUGUCACCCCAUUGAUCGCCAGGGUUGAUUCGGCUGAUCUGGCUGGCUAGGCGGGUGUCCCCCUCCUCCCUCACCGAUCCAUGUACGUCCCUCCCGAAGCUGCGCGCUCGGUCAAAGAGAUCACAACUUAUCAGACCAGAAACCUCCACAGACCAGGGCA